This 402-nucleotide ribosomal RNA is filed under the name uncultured bacterium. RNAcentral's name for it is "bacterial SSU rRNA". It matches the Rfam family "Bacterial small subunit ribosomal RNA", at positions 30 to 431 of the family's 1533-position model. The record is from RNAcentral.
AUUGAACGCUGGCGGCAUGCCUUACACAUGCAAGUCGAACGGCAGCACGGGGGCAACCCUGGUGGCGAGUGGCGAACGGGUGAGUAACAUAUCGGAACAUACCCUAGAGUGGGGGAUAACGUAGCGAAAGUUACGCUAAUACCGCAUACGCACUAAGGUGGAAAGUGGGGGAUCUUCGGACCUCAUGCUCAUGGAGUGGCCGAUAUCUGAUUAGCUAGUUGGUGAGGUAAAGGCUCACCAAGGCGACGAUCAGUAGCUGGUUUGAGAGAACGACCAGCCACACUGGAACUGAGACACGGUCCAGACUCCUACGGGAGGCAGCAGUGGGGAAUUUUGGACAAUGGGGGCAACCCUGAUCCAGCAAUGCCGCGUGAGUGAAGAAGGCCUUCGGGUUGUAAAGAC